GACGAACGCUGGCGGCGUGCUUAACACAUGCAAGUCGAACGGAAAGGCCCUGCUUUUGUGGGGUGCUCGAGUGGCGAACGGGUGAGUAACACGUGAGUAACCUGCCCUUGACUUUGGGAUAACUUCAGGAAACUGGGGCUAAUACCGGAUAGGAGCUCCUGCUGCAUGGGGGGGGUUGGACAGUUUCGGCGGUUGGGGAUGGACUUGCGGCUUAUCAGCUUGUUGGGUGGGUAGUGGCUUACCAAGGCUUUGACGGGUACCCGGCCUGAGAGGGUGACCGGCCACAUUGGGAUUGAGAUACGGCCCAGACUACUACGGGACGCAGCGGUGGGGAAUAUUGUACAAUGGGCGGAAGCCUGAUGCAGCAACGCCGCGUGCGGGAUAACGGCCUGCGGGUUGUAAACCGCUUUCGUAUGUGACGAAGAGUGAGUGACGGUAAUGGGUAAAGAAGCCCCGGCUAACUACGUG
This 468-nucleotide ribosomal RNA is filed under the name uncultured bacterium. RNAcentral describes it as "partial 16S ribosomal RNA". It matches the Rfam family "Bacterial small subunit ribosomal RNA", at positions 28 to 507 of the family's 1533-position model. The record is from RNAcentral.